UUUAGCUAUUUAUGUUGCUCAGACUUCACUGUUUCGAGAGGUUUUGGGUGGGCUUCCGGCAGGCACUCGGCGGACGGGACCACCGCGAGGCGUCCACGACCGGCGGGGGCUCCCUCCAUCCCACCUGGGGUGGUCUGGGGUUCGCCCUCGGCCUGCCAAAGCAACGGAGGUACGUAUUCACGGGGUGGGAGUUUCGGGCCACGGGGACCCUUGCUCUUUAAUGAUCCCUCCGCAGGUUCACCUACGGAGA
Molecule: unclassified non-coding RNA, 250 nt
Filed under: uncultured fungus
Lineage: Eukaryota; Fungi
Description: sequence contains ITS1
Source: RNAcentral